Molecule: ribosomal RNA, 377 nt
Filed under: uncultured bacterium
Lineage: Bacteria
Description: bacterial SSU rRNA
Rfam family: Bacterial small subunit ribosomal RNA
Source: RNAcentral
UAAUACAGAGGUCUCGAGCGUUAAUCGGAAUUACUGGGCUUAAAGGGUGCGUAGGCGGUCCCGUAAGUGCCUUGUGAAAUCCCAUGGCUCAACCAUGGAAUUGCUCGGUAGACUGCGGGACUUGAGGUCGGUAGAGGUCGCUGGAACUCUAGGUGGAGCGGUGAAAUGCGUAGAUAUCUAGAGGAACGCCAAAGGUGUAGACAGGCGACUGGGCCGAUUCUGACGCUGAGGCACGAAAGCGUGGGUAGCGAACGGGAUUAGAUACCCCGGUAGUCCACGCCCUAAACGAUGUGCACUAGAUCGUGGAGGCUCUGACGCCACCAUGGUCGAAGUUAAAAUGCUAAGUGCACCGCCUGGGGAGUACGGUCGCAAGGCUA